GACGAACGCCGGCGGCGUGCUUAACACAUGCAAGUCGAGCGGAAAGGCCACUUCGGUGGUACUCGAGCGGCGAACGGGUGAGUAACACGUGAGUAAUCUGCCCUUCACUCUGGGAUAGCCACCGGAAACGGUGAUUAAUACCGGAUAUGACCACCGUGGGCAUCCACUGGUGGCGGAAACUUUUUUGGGUGGGGGAUGUGCUCGCGGCCUAUCAGCUUGUUGGUGGGGUAAUGGCCUACCAAGGCUUCGACGGGUAGCCGGCCUGAGAGGGUGACCGGCCAAACUGGGACUGAGACACGGCACAGACUCCUACGGGAGGCAGCAGUGGGGAAUAUUGGACAAUGGGCGGAAGCCUGAUCCAGCAACGCCGCGUGAGGGAUGACGGCCUUCGGGUUGUAAACCUCUUUCAGCACCGACGAAGCGCAAGUGACGGUAGGUGCAGAAGAAGGACCGGCCAACUACGUGCCAGCAGCCGCAGUAA
RNAcentral lists this ribosomal RNA (481 nucleotides) under uncultured bacterium. Its description in RNAcentral is "partial 16S ribosomal RNA". It matches the Rfam family "Bacterial small subunit ribosomal RNA", at positions 28 to 523 of the family's 1533-position model. The record is from RNAcentral.